RNAcentral lists this long non-coding RNA (1518 nucleotides) under Androctonus crassicauda. The record is from RNAcentral. Lineage: Eukaryota; Metazoa; Arthropoda; Arachnida; Scorpiones; Buthidae.
CUUUACUAAACUCCCGAAAUUAAUUGCCGUAGGAAAUAAUUGCGAAAAUUUUCCAUUAAAAGUAUGAUGAAUUUUUGCACAUUUUUAAAGAUUAAAAAGUUGGCACUUUUAUUUUUACGAAUAUGUUAACGGCGGCCGGCCAUAUUGGUCAAUUUAAUUUUAUAAAGUUCAUAAAUGCGCAUUUUAUUUAAUCUGUCAGGCAAGUUAACAUUAUCGGUAUGUUUUAAUGGCAUCAAAAAUAUUAACAGUUACACGAAUAUCUUUUAUGUUAACACGUGUGCGUUCCUGGAAUAUGCACUAUUCGUGAAUAAUAAAAAUACCGAAAACCCAUUUUACAGGGAAGAAAACCGCAAAAUUACGCAUAUUAAAACCAUUCGUGAAAUUCGCAUUUUUGUGGAAGAAAGAUGAUUGGGGAGGGAAAGAGAAAUAUCCACAUCAAUUAACAAACAACCGUGAAGCGCACACAUAUUUAAAGAAACGUCAAUGAAAUCUAUCCACUCUUGACAGUCAUUUAUUUUCACAUCCCAAUAAUUUAGUCUAUUAUCAUCUUCAUUGGAGUGAUAAAAGCGUGACGAACAUUGCAAGAAAAAAGGGGAAGGGGGAAAAAAAAGAAACUUCAUUGAAUACCAUAAACUAAAAAAAAAAAACAUUUAUCAAUGGAGUAACUCUGGAGAAAACUAAAAGUAACAUCUUAAACAACAAAUAAAAUUACCAAAAUGUAGGUUAAUGGUUACUGAACAAUUAGUGUUUUAAAGUCGUGCCAAUGGGAAGUCAUAAACAUUCGCUAACUCAGUGGCGCCUUACAAGGAAACCUUUCACGACCUAAAUACUAAUUUAUCAUUUUUAAUUUAUAUAAAUCACAUUGAUAACUUUUAAUAAUCAAGCCCGAAGAAAGGCACAAGAAGAGCACAAUGGCUAAACCCCCCGUUCUCUCUUUUUGGAAUCAGCGGGGUGCAGGAAUAAGGAGUUAAACCGCACCCUCUUUUACUUCAGGGAAUAUCCCUUUUCUCCCCUGCAAUCUGGAAUGAAGCAGCAGCUGUCUAUUCCCUGGAUAGAAAUCAAUGAAGAGAAGUUCGAAACAAUGAAGGAAGACUAAGCAGCAGUUCUAUAGGAUCUUGUCUACUAGGGGAUUUGGGGCCCCCUUUACCCACCUACUGCGAUAAGGAGCUUCUGCAUCAGUCUUAGGGGAAAGAAAAAGAAAAAAUAUAUAUAUAUGAAAGACGUUUAGGUUUAAACAAAAUAAAUUCUAAAUAUGCCGAGACGGAAGAACACACGUAUUGUAUGCAGAAUUUAAACGUUCUGAAAUAUAUCGCGCAACCAUUUUUUACGCUACGAAACGUGUUAGAAAUAAUGGAAGACACGCAAUAAACGGGUAAAAGACGUUAAUUAAAGAAAAAUAGAACGGAAAUAUCUUCGAUGACCCGCUUUAUCCGGAUUUUUAGAUAAGAUUACUGUCGUAAGUAGUUACGACUUAUUAAUUAAAGUUAGGCUUUUUAUUCAUCAAUGCGUUGGUUUACA